AUUGAACGCUGGCGGCAGGCCUAAUACAUGCAAGUCGAGCGGAGCGGAGGACGGGUGAGUAAUGCCUAGGAAUCUGCCUGGUAGUGGGGGAUAAAGUCGGGAAACGGGCAAUAAUACCGAAUACUAUCAGAUGAGCCUAGGUCGGAUUAGCUAGUUGGUGGGUUAAAGGCCUACCAAGGCGACGAGCCGUAACUGGUCUGAGAGGAUGAUCCAGCACACUGGAAUGGAGACACGGUCCAGACGCCUACGGGAGGCAGCAGUGGGGAAUAUUGGACAAUGGGCUAAAGCAUGAUCCAGCCAUGCCGCGUGUGUGAAGAAGGUCUUCGGAUUGUAAAGCACUUUAAGUUGGGAGGCGUUACCAACAGAAUACGCACCGGCUAACUUCGUGCCAGCAGCCGCGGUAAUAC
Molecule: ribosomal RNA, 407 nt
Filed under: uncultured bacterium
Lineage: Bacteria
Description: partial 16S ribosomal RNA
Rfam family: Bacterial small subunit ribosomal RNA
Source: RNAcentral